AGGAGUUAUUGAGUUUAUGUUCUUCUAGCGCAAAAUGUGUCUGUCAGUUCAAAAUGUUCAACCCUCUAAGCUCAGAGAAAAAAAAGAAACAAAUAAAUAGAAUUCAUGAUAGAAAAAAUCCGUGAAGUUCGCAAGGAAAACAAGAUAAGUUCAAAAAUAAUAAAUAUAUAAGUAGAACAUUGGAGGGAAUUUUAUUGUAGAUUUAACAAUCUGGUGUUACUGCUGCUUGUGUUGACUGUGAUGGAGUACUAUUUGCUAUUCCGGUAUAAUUACAUUCUGCUAUGAGAAUUUGCUGCCGAGGGCAUGAAGUAGCAGCCUGCCAAGUUGCUGCCGCGAAUGAACUUGGUUGAUUGUAGGUGAUUGUACUAAACUUGUUCUAUGUUAUUUAUGGUUAGAACUAUCAAUGGAUAAUGAAGGUGAAAAUGAUUAUAUUGGUCUGCAACAACAGAAAAGUUAGCUGGAAGUAGGAAGUUUGAUUCAUCUGCUACUGCUCUUUUUGGGCUUCUGCUUUACUCCAAAAAUAGUGUGUUUUGGAUUGGAUGCUAGACAACAUGAUUUCAUUUUAGUACUAAGAUUAUUGCAUACACUAAAGUGGCAAUCCCACUGUUGUGUUAACACCUAAUUUUGUUGCUUUGAAUCGGUGAGAUCUUGGAUGUUGGAGUUACCCUUGAAGAAAGAACUUGGGCAUUUGAGUUGCUUCCAUGUGGCGAGUCUUGAUCUUGGUGGCACAAAACUACAUUUCAGUAUCCAACUAUUGCAUCAGGAAGUUGCAUGAGAUGAUUUUCCUUUCAAAUGCAUGCUACGUUUGUAGCUCUCAAAUUUUCUCCUUUGUGGAUGCGUUUGUAAGCAGUCCUUUCUCACCUUUGUUGUCACUUUUUUUGUUGAACUUAAGGAGGAUGCUUGGGAUAAAAUGCCUUAUUUAUUUUGCAAUGCUUGAACUAAUUUGUUUUAGUAGUACAAUUUUUAUUUUUGUAUGUUGUAUGGCUUGCCGACCUGCUCUCUCUCUCUGAUUUGUGAACUGAUACUUUAUAUUUGGUGAACUCUAUCCUAUAUGCGCGCCGCACCAAUCACACCGCUGGUUGCCUGCUCCUCUUGCUUACUCCCGCAUGAGGCACGCUACGCCAAGCACGCACCCAGCCGCCCUGCCUCCGGUAGAUCGACACACUGAGUUCAGUUUGUUUUUUCUAGUUCAAUUCUAAAAAAAAGUUUUCUCCAUCUCUGUAGCUUACUUGAACUGAUAGCUGAUACUCGAUGAACUCUGUCCAAUUUGAAUCUUGAACUGAUAGCUGAUGGUUUUAUGAACUAGUAAAAAAGUUUCUGUUUCAUCUUUGACUCUUGUUCUCUGUUCUUUCACUUUCAAAAUUACGUGCAUGUGCAGAUGCUACUUGUUGAUUGCUACUUGACGCAACCAUUAUGUGCAUGUGCAGAUAUCUGAGUGGAACUUCAUUUUUUUUCCAGUUCAACUUUUGAAUGUGUUUCAGUUCGUCUACUUCCCGGUCGUCCUGAGCUGGAGAAUUGCUGCUACUGUUUAUGUGUUUGCAAAUUUUUGAAAACAAGCUUCAGUACAAGAAAAAUGGGUGGUCAGUCCAGCUCCUGCAACCAACACAGGUCGUUGCCCCUUUUGCCACAACAGUAGCAGCACAAACAUUAGUGUGGUCAUCCUCAACCAGUUUCUCACGCGGCCUCCCCGCAAGCCCUGCUCAUGAUCAGGAUAACCUCGAUAGGUUACACAUGUUGCUCACGAGGCUGAUAGGUUCCACAUGUUGCCCAGGAGUAUACCCGUAUGGAGCGGAGAUGACAGUCGAUCUUGUUGACAAUUCUCAAUAAAAAUGAUGGUGAAGUUGGCAAACGUCUAAAUCAGAUAGUGCAUACCCCUGAUGGCCUAAAACAAGUACUUACACAAACACAUAUAUGAGAUUGCCACGACAUGCCGUUCCACAAGCCACCGCGUCCACGCUCCGCACGCGUCUCCGCGACCAACGCCCCAUAUGAGCCGCCAUGGCCACCAACCACAACGGCGACCAGGGAUCGGGGCGUGGCCUGCUGCAUCCAGCAGGUGCUCACAAGCUGCAGUGUUGCUUCUCCGGCGAGAUGUCAUGCUGCACGGUGCUGCCACACCACCGCAUCUCUAUUUUCUUUUGUAAGUUUUUAUUAAAAGACCUUGGAAUAGCAAGUACAAGUUCAACAGAAGGACAUGCAUCAGUUCGGACCUCAGAA
Triticum aestivum (bread wheat) is the source of this 2217-nucleotide long non-coding RNA. RefSeq lists it as uncharacterized. The transcript has 4 exons. The record is from RefSeq and is a predicted model, not a curated record. NCBI's taxonomy places the organism in Eukaryota, Viridiplantae, Streptophyta, Magnoliopsida, Poales, Poaceae.